Molecule: long non-coding RNA, 632 nt
Filed under: Vigna radiata
Lineage: Eukaryota; Viridiplantae; Streptophyta; Magnoliopsida; Fabales; Fabaceae
Description: long non-coding RNA (VRAD_LNC001473)
Source: RNAcentral
GGUUGUUCUUGAACAGUAUCUUCCUCUGGGACCCUUCCCUUAUCACAAACUUCUGGGCUUUAACUAAUCUUAUCUUUUAAGAAGGCUGUUGGAUCAGAAAGUUCAGUCAUAUAAAAUUUGAAAAUUUGAUUGAGUGUGACACUGAUGCGAAGCCAUUGUUGGGUGGAAGGAAGCGAAAACUGGAAUUUGGACGAACUCAUAGAGGCAUUGAAUCAUGGGGUUGUAGUGUAGCAGAUGAUCACAUGGAAGGAAUAUGGGAGAUAACGAUGGGAGUGAAUGAAACAGAAAGAACUGAAGAACCCAAUGUUUUGUGGGGGUAGAUGGACCACACUGCGAAGGAAUUUUCAGCUCCAUGUCAAUACCAACCAUGCACAUGCAAACUUCUAACUCUUUUCAAACUCGUCAUAUCUCUCGCUCUCGUUGUUGUUGUGACUGGGAAUUCAAUCACCAAAACUGAUCGGAUAAGAGAUCUUUACAGACACACAUUAUAAAAAUAAAAUAUUUAUAAAAUAAUGAACUUUUAUAUUUUUUAAUAAAAAGUAGAAAAAGAUAAAAUAUGAAAAUUUUGUGUAUAUCACAUUCUCAUUCCUAUUCAACCAAAUGUGAAUUUAAAUUUUACAUUGAUUAAAGUU